CCCGCCGUAGCUCAGCGGCAGAGCGCCCGGCUGUAGUGAGGCGGGCGCCUAUAUAGAAACCGGGUGGUCGGGGGUUCAAGUCCCCCCGGCGGGA
Molecule: transfer RNA, 94 nt
Filed under: Ignisphaera aggregans DSM 17230
Lineage: Archaea; Thermoproteati; Thermoproteota; Thermoprotei; Desulfurococcales; Desulfurococcaceae
Rfam family: tRNA
About the family: Transfer RNA (tRNA) molecules are approximately 80 nucleotides in length. Their secondary structure includes four short double-helical elements and three loops (D, anti-codon, and T loops).
Source: Rfam by way of RNAcentral